GCAUUCCUGGAGCGAUCGCCUUUUAUUGAAGCUUUUAAUUAAAGGGGCCAGUUGGCUAGCCCCUGAAACAACCGCCAAAAUUCCCCAAAAGAGAAAAAUAAACGCUGUAGCCUUCGGAAACGGUUGUUUCGGCUCCUGUUCUGUGGGCGGCUGAGGACCGCGGGCUGCCCUGCUCCGAGAACAGCUGUGUCUGUAGUUCGCAAUUCCUUUAAUCUUAACAUGGAUAAGCAGCAGUAACAAUGGGUGCUUAAGUUCCCAAUAUCACUGGUCAUGCAGGAGUUUCGCUGCAUCUUGCUCCCCACAAAAGAAACAUUAGAACGUGGGGGCUUUCUACAAAACAGUUUGUAAGGGGAUGAGACAGCUUGUCUGAAUACACCUUUCAAGAAGCCACCGUGAGAGAGAACUAGGGAGAACAUGUAUGGUGACAGAAGAGGUUAUGUAGGUGCCCAGACAGCCAUUCUAUAGAUGAAGUUGAAUGUAUGGUGUCCCACAGAUGAAGACACUUUGAAGCAAUCUUUUCAUGUGUGUUACGAGAAGGCAAGGAAGGUAUCUACGAAAAACCAACUUCUCUCACAACAUAAUCUAAAGAGACUUUACUCCCAUAGCACUCUGCAAGUCUUCAGUGAGACUGUAUACUGAAGCUAGCUUGCCACAGAAGAGUGACACCUUUGGGCUAGAUCAAUUGACUGCAGAGGCUUCUGGGGGCAUAUGCACAUAGUAGUGAUUGUCAUACUGUGAGCAGAGUACAGGCGCUUUUAGAGAAGCAAUUAGAUUGACAGAAGGUGUCAUAUUCCACACAAUAGAUGGGAGAAGUCCAGGCAGGUAAUCCAAGCAUCAUUUGGAAUCUCUGCUCCCAGACAUGUGGACAUAUGGACCUGCAUUACUGCAUUUGUUCACCGGGAAAUCCUGAAAUAUGUAUAAACUGAUGAUGGUAGAUGACAGGUGCUUCAAAAAUUCUAAUGAAAUCGAUGUAGGGUAACAGAUUCUAUUUCAUUACCAAAAGGAAUAUAAAUGAAAAAGAAUGCCACAUGGAGUCUAUGUCUUGUCUUAUGCAUUAGGUAAUCAACUAGGUAAUCUCUUUCCUAUGAAAUGAUUUACACAGACUUUUCCUUUUUAGCUAUGUAUUUUUUACAUUCUAGUUUUCUUUUAAAAAAUUCUCUUCUCAGUACAAAAGAGGUAACUAAAUUAUUAGUCCUUUUCGAUUCUGUGAGACUAUGUAUCUCAUCUUAAGGCUAUUUAAUUAAAAUUCAACAUUUUUCUCCAAAGAAUUAGUAUCUCAUAUUAAAAGCUUCAAACCAGCCAA
Molecule: long non-coding RNA, 1303 nt
Filed under: Mus musculus (house mouse)
Lineage: Eukaryota; Metazoa; Chordata; Mammalia; Rodentia; Muridae
Description: predicted gene, 55122
Source: RNAcentral